GACGUAGGGUGCGAGCGUUGUCCGGAUUUAUUGGGCGUAAAGAGCUCGUAGGCGGCUCGUCGCGUCGGUUGUGAAAACUCUAGGCUUAACCUGGAGCUUGCAACCGAUACGGGCGGGCUAGAGUUCGGUAGGGGAGACUGGAAUUCCUGGUGUAGCGGUGAAAUGCGCAGAUAUCAGGAGGAACACCGAUGGCGAAGGCAGGUCUCUGGGCAUUAACUGACGCUGAGGAGCGAAAGCAUGGGGAGCGAACAGG
Molecule: ribosomal RNA, 253 nt
Filed under: uncultured bacterium
Lineage: Bacteria
Description: partial 16S ribosomal RNA
Rfam family: Bacterial small subunit ribosomal RNA
Source: RNAcentral